AGGUAUAAAUAAGGGCAAGCGGUGGGAGGAGGGACUUCGGAGGGAGGCUUCGGAGCCGCGAGUAUCCAUCCGUCAAAGCGUUAAAGCGUCAAUCGACGAGGCGACGACGGUGCGUGUUCGUUCGUUCGCCGUAUAGUCCAACCUUUCGACCACCACGUGGCGCUGCCCCGGCUCACCGCCUCAUCGUCUCCUCGGUGAAAGAGCGGGCCGAACGUUGAUACCGGCGACGGCGGUAUGCAGCAGCCGCAGGAGGAGCAUUGUGGCCGCAGCCGUCGGCGUUUUAGCACGAGGGUCAGAGAAGACGCGAGGCUUCCGAGUUUCCGGCUCUCCCGGAGCGAAUCACUUUGCCGUUGCGCACCGCGGGUGACAAAAAUAAUUUUAAUAUAUUCUCGUUCGAACACGGUAGAGUGAAAAUCGGCACGCCGUUCCCGCGCGGAAUUUGUGAUUUGUUAUUGUUGUGUCCUGUUCCUCUUUCUUUUGUACAUACAUGUGGGCGAUAUUCGGCCGAUUAUGACGAGGAGGAGGCGCAGGAAAGGAGAAGCCGUUUGCGACGAACAAAGUUAUCAAAGUGUCGCGGAUCCAAACGAUAUGGGUGAACAGUGACGGAGAAUUAUUAUUCACGAGACAUUGUUCACGAAGAAAUAUAACAAUACGCGUAUGAAGUGCGUGUAACGUAGCGGUGAGAAUUAGAAGGAAAAAAAAACAAAAAAACAAAAAAAAACAGGAUACUUCGUCGCUUCCGUUUCGGCUCAAUGCCAACUUCGUGACUGAGAAUAUUGAACAGAAGAGCGGGCGAACCAUCAACAAAAAAAACACAUGUGAUUCCGUUCUUAGCCGAAGGCUCAUCGUCAGUUGACUUCAUUCGUUUCCUGCCGAUCGCAUACAUUCAAAACAAGGUACGUUCGUAUACUCAAGGACCAUCUUCAGAUGCCUUGAAAAAUUAUGUCUUCAGCCACUGCUGGUCUGCGGGGUGCCGUAGACCGUCUCGCAUCUCUUAACGAUAAAAGGGACAAACGAAGGGACGUCCGAGAGAAUUAGGCAUGUUUCGGACUUUACCCUGAAAAGAAUUCAUCCUAAUUGUUUGAUCCUCCGCUGUAUUUUCUAGCCACGUGUUUCUGCAGACACAAGGAUCUUCUUUUCAUCUCCUUGGAGACCCAUUAAGUCGGAGACAGGUUUAUGACACAAGUCUAGGGAAAGGCCUGUCGACCUAACUUUCAAGAACAUAACCCAGACUCGGAGCCCUUGCCUCAUUGUUGUUAAAAAAAAAAAAACAAUUCUAGGAAAACUGAAACCGGGCUGGCGCCUUUUUUCCGCACACUUGGGGAAAGAGUAAUAUCAUACGCAGCAUGUAUACAUGUAUUUUGUCGUCUCUUAAGCACCCGGUGUAAGAAUGUAUGUAAGGAAGGUUUACAUGUUGGAAUCUUACGCUUCUGAUGGGAAGGACGUAAGACGGUCAAGGACCGUCUAAUAAUUGAAAUGCGGAUAUGCAUUAUCAUUAGUUACG
Molecule: long non-coding RNA, 1504 nt
Organism: Neodiprion virginianus
Lineage: Eukaryota; Metazoa; Arthropoda; Insecta; Hymenoptera; Diprionidae
Exons: 3
Source: RefSeq, a predicted model, not a curated record